RNAcentral lists this ribosomal RNA (445 nucleotides) under uncultured bacterium. RNAcentral describes it as "partial 16S ribosomal RNA". It matches the Rfam family "Bacterial small subunit ribosomal RNA", at positions 354 to 796 of the family's 1533-position model. The record is from RNAcentral.
GUAGGGAAUAUUGGGCAAUGGAGGCAACUCUGACCCAGCCAUGCCGCGUGCAGGAUGACGGCCCUCUGGGUUGUAAACUGCUUUUAUACGGGAAGAAAAAAUACUACGUGUAGUAUACUGACGGUACCGUAAGAAUAAGGAUCGGCUAACUCCGUGCCAGCAGCCGCGGUAAUACGGAGGAUCCAAGCGUUGUCCGGAUUUGUUGGGUUUAAAGGGUGCGUAGGCGGAUCUUUAAGUCAGUGGUGAAAGCCUGCAGCUUAACUGUAGAAUUGCCAUUGAAACUGAAGAUCUUGAAUGUGGUUAAAGUAGGCGGAAUGUAUCAUGUAGCGGUGAAAUGCUUAGAUAUGAUACAGAACACCGAUAGCGAAGGCAGCUUGCUGAACCAUUAUUGACGCUGAGGCACGAAAGCGUGGGGAGCGAACAGGAUUAGAUACCCCUGUAGUCC